AGUCUUGUAGCUCAGUUGGUUAGAGCACCACACUGAUAAUGUGGGGGUCCGCGGUUCAAAUCCGCGCAAGACUACCA
Molecule: transfer RNA, 77 nt
Filed under: Mucinivorans hirudinis
Lineage: Bacteria; Pseudomonadati; Bacteroidota; Bacteroidia; Bacteroidales; Rikenellaceae
Description: tRNA-Ile (GAT) (tRNA-Ile-GAT-1-1)
Rfam family: tRNA
About the family: Transfer RNA (tRNA) molecules are approximately 80 nucleotides in length.
Source: RNAcentral